UAUCAAGAAUUUUAAACAUUACAUCCCGUAAGUUGGGACGUAAUUCUCUUUCUUGAUUUCUCAAAAAUUUACCAACAUUGUUCUUAUCCCCAAAACUACAAAUCCAACAAAUCUAAAAUUUUUUAAACUUAUUAGCAUAUGCAUAGUUUUAUAUAAGAUUAUAUCAAAAGUGAUUGCCAAUCGUUUUCAAAAAGUUUUAGAUGUAUGCAUUGCCCAAAGUACUUUUGUGCCAAGAAGACUCAUUACAGAUAAUGUCAUUUUAGCUUAUGGGUUAAUGCAUACACCCAAGCAAAGAAGAAUAUAGCAACAUGGAAGUUUAGCGCUAAAAUUAUACAUGAAUAAGUCUUCCAAUAGAGUGGAAUGGGUCUUUUUGAAAAAAGUUUUGAAAAAUUUAAGGUUUAUAAAGUCUUUUGUGACUAUAAUGAUGGGAUGUGUUACAUCGAUAAGUUAUUCGAUUUGUCUAAAUGUAGAGCUUGGCGAAAGAUUCAAACCAAUGAGAAGAUUGAGACAAGUUAACCCGUUAAGCCCUUAUUUAUUCUUAAUUUGUAGCAAGGGGUUAUCAUCGUUAAUAAGGCUAGCUAUAUAGGAUGGUAAAAUUAAGGGGGCUAAGGUGCGUCGAAAAGGACCUACUAUUACUCGUCUCCUCUUUGCAGACGAUUGCAUUCUUUUUGGAGAUGCCAUGGAAAGGGGAGCUCAUAACCUUAAAAUAAUUUUACGAGAAUAUGAGUGCUGUUUUGGUCAAUGCAUAAAUUUUUACAAGUCAGUGGCAUUUUUUAGUUCAAACGUUUAGGAACAAAAGAGGGAGCAAAUUGCAGGUAUAUUUGGAAGUCCAAACUUUUAGAGAUCUAGAAAAAUACUUGUGAUUGCCUAAUAUGAUAGGGAGGGACAAAAAAAGGAAUUUCCAAUUACUAAAAGAUAAGAUGAUGAGUAAAAUUAAAUGUUGUGUCCGAGACUCUUGUUGGUUAGAGGAAGGGAGGUUUUUAUAAAAGCAAUUUUAUAUACAAUUCCCACUUAUGCGAUGGCAUGCUUUUUGUCACCAAAAUCGUUUUGUACAGAAUUGGAAAACAUUAUGAGUCGAUUUUGGUGGCAAAAAAGUCACGACAAACGGGGGAUCCAUUAGUGUGAGUGGAGAAGGCUUGGUAAACUAAAAGAGGACGGAGGAAUGGGAUUUCAGUGUUUAUAAAAUUUUAAUGUAGCAAUGUUAGCAAAACAAGGGUGGCGUUUGAUUUGUUAUUAGGAUUCAUUAUUAGCAAAAUCAUUAAAAUCAAAGUACUAGCCAAAUUCUAAUUUCAUGCAAGUUAGGUUGGGGACAUUACCAUCCUAUACCUAGAGGAGUAUAUGGGAGGUAAAAGGACUCCUUGAAAAAGGUUUUUGCUGACGAAUUGGAUCAGGAAAACAUGUUCAAAUUUGGGAUGAAGCUUGGAUCCCAGGCACUAACGACUACAAAUUAGAGAAUUCAAAUAUUGAUCAAUGGUUGGGACAUGUAUCAAAGCUUAUUGAAUAGGAUACAAACAAAUGGAAAGAAGAGUUCAUAAGGAGUACCUUUCACCCCACAGACGCCGAAAUUAUCCUGUGCAUCGCCCUUCAUUUAGAGGGGGAAAUGGAAAGAAUGGUUUGGUGCGGUGAAACGUCAGGCAAGUAUAGAAUGCGGAGUGGGUAUAAAAUUUUAAUAUAGACCAAAAGCCAAACAAAUAUGUAAGCUAACCACAAUUAUUACAAGCCACUGUACAAAAAACUAUGGUCGAUUGAUUUUCCCUCAAAAACAAAAUUCCUAGUCUAGAAAACUCUAAAUAAUUAUCUACCUACUUUCUCUAAUUUUUUCCAAAGAAGAUUGGCCAGUAGUAGUAAUUGCCCUAGAUGCAUCAACUAUCCCGAAACUACAUAUCAUGUAUUCAAGGACUGCCCUUUUGCUGUUGCAGUUUGGUCAAGGUUGGGCUUUAGAUGGUCCCUAAAACAAAAUCAAUUGCAAUAUAAGGACUGGGUGAAGAUGUUGUUUCAAAAAGAAUCAAGUCAACAAAUAAAGAUUAUUGUAGGGACCAUUUAGGGGUUUUGGAUGGCUAGGAAUAAAUUGGUACAUGAGAAUUUGGUUCAGUUUGAAACCUGCCUAAUUCAGUUUAUCCAAAGCUAUAUAAAGGAAAUUGAUGGAGUAAAGAAGAAAUUACCUGUGAACCCAGUACAAAAGGAAAAUUGGAAACCCCCGGAAGGAUUGAAUGUAAAAAUUAACUUCGACGCUGCUUUCGACAGACAGAAAAAAAGAUCAUGCAUUGGAAUUGUGAUCAGAAAUUCUGACGGUGACAUCCUAAAAUCAAUAAUCUAUGAAAACGAGCACAUAUCGACAACCUUUGCAGCCGAGGCUCUCGCAUGCGUCCAAGUAGGGAGAUUUAGGGCAGAAUCUGGUUUCCUACGAGUUGAAAUUGAAGGCGAUGCGUUAUCUAUAUUUUGGAAAAUACAAAGAUAAGAUGAAGAUAGAUAAAAUAUAAGGGCCUUUAUUUCUGAUGCAAAACGAAUGAGAAGGAACUUUAUCUCUUGUAGAUUUCAACAUGCAAGUAGACAAGCAAACUUAGUGGCCUAUUCCCUAGCAAUAGAAGGGUUAAAAUAUAGAGAAAAUACUCAUCUGAAUAUGAUCGGACCUAGUGUGGUCGUUAGGGUCGAUGCGAAUGAUAGGAAUGGUGUCACCGAAGGUAGCAGAGGGGUUAGGACUUAAAAUCAGGACAUGAGAAGGGCUGUUAAAAGAAAAAGGGAAAACAUAUCAGGGAAAGGAACGUUGAGUUGUAAAUUAUUAGAAUAAGAAAUGGGAUAAUAUAAAGGACGGGUACCUCAGAUAAACAGAUGGUAGAAAUCCGGCAACAAAUAAUGCGAGUUAAGUCCGCCAUUAAAGAGGUACGAGUCAUGUAAUGAGGGUGGAGUGUGUGGAUUUGCUUCGAAGCAUUGAAAGGACGAAAUAGGUAAAGAAGACGGAGGAAGCACAUAAAUGGAAUUGGGUGCUGGUUUGAUUUUUUAGGGUUUGUUACUUUUUUGUUGUUUUUUCUUAGGAUCUGGA
This 3040-nucleotide long non-coding RNA is filed under the name Gossypium barbadense (sea-island cotton). RNAcentral describes it as "long non-coding RNA (GBAR_LNC021675)". The record is from RNAcentral. Lineage: Eukaryota; Viridiplantae; Streptophyta; Magnoliopsida; Malvales; Malvaceae.